RNAcentral lists this RNase P RNA (417 nucleotides) under Rhodospirillaceae bacterium. Its description in RNAcentral is "RNase P RNA component class A". It matches the Rfam family "Bacterial RNase P class A". Rfam says of the family: Ribonuclease P (RNase P) is a ubiquitous endoribonuclease, found in archaea, bacteria and eukarya as well as chloroplasts and mitochondria. Its best characterised activity is the generation of mature 5'-ends of tRNAs by cleaving the 5'-leader elements of precursor-tRNAs. The record is from RNAcentral. Lineage: Bacteria; Pseudomonadati; Pseudomonadota; Alphaproteobacteria; Rhodospirillales; Rhodospirillaceae.
CCAGAUGGCUGGAUGGCUGCUCUUUGUUUAGGCAAAGGGAGGAAAGUCCGGGCUCCACGGAAGCAAGGUGCCGGAUAACGUCCGGCGGGGGCGACCCCAGGGAAAGUGCCACAGAAAACAAACCGCCGACCCACCGGUAAAACGGUGGUGCCGGUAAGGGUGAAAUGGUGCGGUAAGAGCGCACCGCGCGGCUGGUAACAGCGGCGGCAGGGUAAACCCCACCUGGAGCAAGACCAAAUAGGGACGGCCGUUCGGGUAGCUUUUGCUACGCCGAAAGGUGGGUUUCCGCACCGUCGUCCGGGUCGGUCGCGUCGAGGUGCGCAGCGAUGCGCAUCCCAGAGGAAUGGCCAUCCAUUGGGCUUAGGAUGCAAAUCCGGGGCCCAGGGACAGAACCCGGCUUAUAGGCCAUCUGGCGCA